This is a long non-coding RNA of Loxodonta africana (African savanna elephant), 2978 nucleotides long. RefSeq lists it as uncharacterized. NCBI's taxonomy places the organism in Eukaryota, Metazoa, Chordata, Mammalia, Proboscidea, Elephantidae. The record is from RefSeq and is a predicted model, not a curated record. The transcript has 3 exons.
AAGGUCCUGACCCUCGCUCUCCGGUGUGAGGUCUGUGUGGCGGCAGUUGGUUCCUGGAGGCCGCGGAGGUGGGACCUGCGUGUGUCGGUGCGUGGACAGGGUCCAGCUGCGGCCAGAUGUGACGUCCUGUGAGCGGGCAGAAUGGGGGUCGUGACGGGGGCAGGGAAAGCCGGUUGAGCAAGACUCUGGCGUUUGGGAAAUCUAACGCAACGUUUAUUGGGAGUCCGCAGGCGGGGACCCGGGAAACAUUUCCUCAGGGAAGGAUUUCAAGUGCUCAGACUGGUGUGUGGACCAAGCAUUAUUCAUCUGCCUCCAAAUUGCCCAGGCCUCUGCUUCCAGUCCUGUCCCUCUUCCUGGAAGUGGCUUCUUGGGCUCAGAGACGACAUUCCCUUAGACUUGCAGAAACUGGAGAAGGAAAUGGUGAGUUCUGUGGAGAACUGGGUUAUCCUUAGCAUAAGUGGGUGAGGCUGGAUCUGAAUUGUUGGGGGAGCAGCUGUGUGCUGCGGGGCUGUGGUUCCUCAAUGAAGAGAAAAGGUAGCAGAGGAGGCGGAGGGACUGAGGCCCAGGAGGCACCAUGAGGCCCUGCUUCUCUGUCACUGGGCCCUUCCCCUAUACACAUGUGGCUUUUCAGGAUUUAGAUGCCUGCAGUGACCUUCCUUAUGUGACUCUCAGAGCUGCCACCCUGGGGUGUUAACAUCUUCACCCCGGGACUUUGUGCUCUGUGUUGAAUGACAAAGUCUCCUGACCAGAGCCUGAAGAUGGAGCAUCUCUGGCUGUGGAGGCUGGGCCCCGCCAUCCAGAGCCAUCCUUGUCCUGUCUCUCUGACCAAUGUUCUUGACUCCCCCCAGGCACUGAAACAUUUUCAGUGCCGUUCUGAAACUACACCUGCAGCUGUGACACUGUUUUAUGGGUUAGAAAAGGAGAGGAGAGUUCGUAGGGAAGGCCCUGAGUGUUUAUGGGGUCCUGGGUGUUGGUGGUGCUCUCCUGAUGUCACAAAAAGGCAUGAAGCUGGGGACAGUGAGUCCAGCUGGAUCCUGUCUGCGUUCUCCAAGCCCAUUUUUACCCCCACUGGGGAAGGCUUUUGCCUUGAGGCUUUCAGGUAUGUGGAAAGCAUGACUCCGCAGUCUUGGUCCUCGUCCUCCCACCUGUGACUCGAGCUGUGUGUAAUCCCUAUGAUUGUUGAUGUUCUCCCUAGUCUUAAAUUAGAAUCUAAAAUAAAGUAUUCUCUAAGCAGAAGAGAUGUGUGUGUUUAAAUUCUUGGAUUUACAGUUUCCAGUGGAUGAAAAUUUCUAGAUCACUAGUUGUGUUUCUACUGAGAAUUUUUCAAUUUAAUGGAUAUAAACUUCUUAAACACAAAGGAAUGCAUAUUUUUAACUUACGUAAAAGUUUCUCUAAAGCUUACUUAAAUCUGCAGAAAGUUCUCAUUUCCUGCCUAUAGAUUGUUAUCAUCUAUUUUUAUAAGUUUAUGACCAUUACUGAUAUUAUUCCCAGUAUCAUAGCUUUACCACCGAGGUCUGAAUCCGUAAACUCUGUGUUGUUUAGUUUUGCCUCUUUUGAGCUUUCUGUUAUUACUGUGUCUGUGUUCUUCAGUGACUUGUAAUCUGUUCUGAAGGUUAUAGUCUGAUCUUCAUCAGAAAAUGCUUCAACUUCUCUUCUUAGUUUCAGUAAGCAAGAUUGUGUUAUCUGCAUUGCCCAGGUGGUUUUUCAGUCUUCCUCUAAUCCUGAUGCUGUGUUCUGUUUCAUAUCGUCCAGAUUCUCUGGUUAUUUGCUCAGCGUACAGUUUGGGUAAGUAUGGUGAAAAGAUAGAACACACCUGACACACACCUUUCCUGACUUUAAAACUACGGUAUUCCCUUGUUCUGUUUGAACGACUGCCUCUUGGUCUGUGUGCGGUUUCUACGGGAGCACAGUUAAGUGUUCUGGAAUUCCCAUUCUUCGUAAUGUUAUCCAUCAUUUUUAUGUUCCAUAUAGUCGAAUGCUUUUGCAUAGUCAGUGAAACACAGGUAAACAUCUUUCUGGUAUUCUCUGCUUUCAGACAGCAGCUGUGAUAUCUCUUGUUCCAUGUGGUCUUCUGAAUCUGGCUUACAUUUCUGGCAGUUCCCUGUUGAAGUACUGCUGCAACUGCUUUUGAAUGAUCUUCACAAAAUUUUCUUGCAUGUGGUAUGAAGGAUGUUGUUCGAUAAUUUCCACAUUCUGUUUUAUCACCUGUCUUUGGAAUAGGCCUGAAUAGGGAUCUCUUCCAGUUGCUUGGUCAGGAAACGGUCUUCCAAACUUCUUGGCAUAGACGAGUGAGCGCUUCCAGCGCUGCAUCUGUUGGUUGAAACACCUCAAUGGGUAUUCCAUCAAUUUCUGGAUGGCUGUAUUUCGCCAGUUCUUUCGGUGCAGCUUGGACUUCUUCCUUCGGUACCAUUGGUUCUUGAUCCUAUGCUAACUCCUGAAAUGAUUGAAUGUCGACCAGUUCUUUUUGGUACACUUACCGUGUUUUCCUUUAAUCUUCUUUUGAUGCUUCCUGCAUGAUUCGAUAUUUUCCCUGUAGGGUCCUUCAGUAUUGCAGCUCGAGGCUUGAAUUUUUUCUUCAGUUCUUUCAGCUUGAGAACUGUCAAGCAUGCCCUUCCCUUUUCGUUUUCAAACUCCAGGUCUUUGGACAUUCGUUGUAAUACUUUGUCUUCUGGAGCUGCCCACUGAAAUCUUCUGUUGCGCUCUUUUCUUUCAUCAUUUCUUCCAUUUGCUUUAACUAUUGUUUGUUCAAGAGUAACUUUCAGAGUCUCUUCUGACAUCCGCUUUAACUAUUGUUUGUUCAAGAGUAACUUUCAGAGUCUCUUCUGACAUCCGCUUUAACUAUUGUUUGUUCAAGAGUAACUUUCAGAGUCUCUUCUGACAUCCGUUUUGGUCUUUUCUAUCUUUUCAAUGAUCUCUUGCUUUCUUCGUGUAUGAUGUUCUUGAUGUCAUUCACAGCUCGUCUGGUCUGUGGUCUUUAA